RNAcentral lists this long non-coding RNA (757 nucleotides) under Ricinus communis (castor bean). Its description in RNAcentral is "long non-coding RNA (RCOM_LNC000993)". Lineage: Eukaryota; Viridiplantae; Streptophyta; Magnoliopsida; Malpighiales; Euphorbiaceae. The record is from RNAcentral.
AGGAGGAAUCCCUUCCUUAUCCUGAAUCUUAGCCUUAACAUUAUCAAUAGUAUCGCUACUCUCCACCUCCAAAGUAAUAGUCUUUCCAGUCAAAGUCUUAACAAAAAUCUGCAUCCCUCCACGAAGCCUUAACACAAGGUGAAGUGUUGAUUCCUUCUGAAUGUUAUAAUCAGCCAAAGUCCUUCCAUCUUCAAGCUGCUUUCCUGCGAAAAUCAACCUCUGCUGAUCUGGUGGAAUCCCUUCUUUGUCUUGAAUCUUCGCCUUGACAUUAUCGAUUGUGUCACUGCUUUCUACCUCCAAGGUAAUGGUCUUUCCCGUCAAGGUCUUAACAAAAAUUUGCAUACCUCCACGGAGACGAAGCACAAGGUGAAGUGUUGAUUCUUUCUGGAUAUUAUAAUCAGCCAAAGUACGCCCAUCUUCAAGCUGUUUUCCAGCAAAGAUUAGCCUUUGCUGAUCUGGGGGAAUUCCUUCUUUGUCCUGAAUCUUUGCCUUGACAUUAUCAAUAGUGUCGCUGCUCUCAACUUCAAGAGUAAUGGUCUUUCCCGUCAAGGUUUUGACGAAGAUCUGCAUGCCACCGCGGAGACGGAGGACAAGGUGGAGGGUUGAUUCUUUUUGAAUGUUAUAAUCGGCUAAGGUGCGGCCGUCUUCGAGCUGUUUUCCUGCGAAGAUGAGACGUUGCUGGUCUGGUGGGAUUCCUUCCUUGUCUUGGAUUUUGGCUUUCACGUUGUCUAUUGUGUCGCUGCUCUCCACCUCCAGA